CCUACGGGAGGCAGCAGUGAGGAAUAUUGGUCAAUGGACGAGAGUCUGAACCAGCCAAGUAGCGUGAAGGAUGACUGCCCUAUGGGUUGUAAACUUCUUUUAUACAGGAAUAAAACGAGGCACGUGUGCCUUUUUGCAUGUACUUUAUGAAUAAGGAUCGGCUAACUCUGUGCCAGCAGCCGCGGUCGUACGGAGGAUCCGAGCGUUAUCCGGAUUUAUUGGGUUUAAAGGGUGCGUAGAUGGGUUGUUAAGUCAGUUGUGAAAGUGUGCGGCUCAAACGUAAAAUUGCAAUUGAUACUGGCAGGCGUGAGUACAGUUGAGGUAGGCGGAAUGCGUGGUGUAGCGGUGAAAUGCUUAGAUAUCACGAAGAACCCCGAUUGCGAAGGCAGCUUACUAAACUGUGACUGACAUUGAUGCUCGAAAGUGUGGGUAUCAAACAGGAUUAGAUACCCCAGUAGUC
This 460-nucleotide ribosomal RNA is filed under the name uncultured bacterium. RNAcentral's name for it is "partial 16S ribosomal RNA". It matches the Rfam family "Bacterial small subunit ribosomal RNA", at positions 338 to 795 of the family's 1533-position model. The record is from RNAcentral.